RNAcentral lists this ribosomal RNA (465 nucleotides) under uncultured bacterium. RNAcentral's name for it is "partial 16S ribosomal RNA". It matches the Rfam family "Bacterial small subunit ribosomal RNA", at positions 28 to 507 of the family's 1533-position model. The record is from RNAcentral.
GACGAACGCUGGCGGCGUGCUUAACACAUGCAAGUCGAACGGAAAGGCCCCUUCGGGGGUACUCGAGUGGCGAACGGGUGAGUAACACGUGAGUAACCUGCCCUUGACUUCGGGAUAACUUCAGGAAACUGGGGCUAAUACCGGAUAGGAAUCCUUGCUGCAUGGUGGGGGUUGGAAAGCUUCGGCGGUUUUGGAUGGACUCGCGGCUUAUCAGCUUGUUGGUGGGGUAGUGGCUUACCAAGGCUUUGACGGGUAGCCGGCCUGAGAGGGCGACCGGCCACAGUGGGACUGAGAGACGGCCCGGACUCCUACGGGAGGCAGCAGUGGGGAAUAUUGCACAAUGGGCGGAAGCCUGAUGCAGCAACGCCGCGUGCGGGAGGACGGCCUUCGGGUUGUAAACCGCUUUCAGCAGGGGCGAAGCUUGUGGUGACGGUACCUGCAGAAGAAGCACCGGCUAACUACGUG